This 460-nucleotide ribosomal RNA is filed under the name uncultured bacterium. RNAcentral describes it as "partial 16S ribosomal RNA". It matches the Rfam family "Bacterial small subunit ribosomal RNA", at positions 338 to 795 of the family's 1533-position model. The record is from RNAcentral.
CCUACGGGUGGCAGCAGUGAGGAAUAUUGGUCAAUGGGCGAGAGCCUGAACCAGCCAAGUCGCGUGAGGGAUGACGGAUCUAUGGGUUGUAAACUUCUUUUAUCUGGGAGUAAAGUGAGCAACGUGUUCCUUUUUGUAUGUACCAUAUGAAUAAGCAUCGGCUAACUCCGUGCCAGCAGCCGCGGUAAUACGGAGGAUGCGAGCGUUAUCCGGAUUUAUUGGGUUUAAAGGGUGCGUAGGUGGGUAAUGAAGUCAGCGGUGAAAGUGUGUGGCUCAACCAUGAAAUUGCCGUUGAAACUGGUUGACUUGAGUACACUAGAGGUAUGCGGAAUGCGUGGUGUAGCGGUGAAAUGCAUAGAUAUCACGCAGAACUCCGAUUGCGAAGGCAGCAUACCAAACUAUAACUGACACUGAAGCACGAAAGCGUGGGGAUCAAACAGGAUUAGAUACCCUUGUAGUC